AAUUUCUGGUAUGGUGCGCCUGGCCCGCUGCAGCAAUGUACGCGAGUGUCGGUGUGCGUCUGCCAUCUUUGUGUGUGAAACUCCUCUUCACUGGGGAGUAGCACCACAUCUUUUACUUUGAAAAAAUUAGAGUGUUUAAAGCAGGCUUGCGCUAUGAAUACAUUAGCAUGGAAUAAUAAUUUAGGACUUCGUUUCUAUUUUGUUGGUUUCUAGGGAUGAAGUAAUGAUUGAUAGGGAUAGUUGGGGGUGCUAGUAUUCAUCGGCCAGAGGUGAAAUUCUUGGAUUCGAUGAAGACUAACUUAUGCGAAAGCAUU
This 314-nucleotide ribosomal RNA is filed under the name uncultured Paracercomonas. RNAcentral's name for it is "SSU rRNA". The stretch from base 102 to 314 matches the Rfam family "Eukaryotic small subunit ribosomal RNA", at positions 741 to 955 of the family's 1831-position model. Lineage: Eukaryota; Cercozoa; Cercomonadida; Cercomonadidae. The record is from RNAcentral.